UCCUCAUUGUACAUGCUGUGUGUAACUACUUCUCUUACACAGCGCAUGCAAUGUGGAUA
Molecule: microRNA precursor, 59 nt
Filed under: Xenopus laevis (African clawed frog)
Lineage: Eukaryota; Metazoa; Chordata; Amphibia; Anura; Pipidae
Description: Xla-Mir-460-P2d_pre stem-loop
Rfam family: mir-460 microRNA precursor family
Source: RNAcentral